Molecule: ribosomal RNA, 462 nt
Filed under: uncultured bacterium
Lineage: Bacteria
Description: bacterial SSU rRNA
Rfam family: Bacterial small subunit ribosomal RNA
Source: RNAcentral
GAUGAACGCUGGCGGCGUGCUUAAUACAUGCAAGUCGAACGGAGACAAUAGCAAUAUUGCCUUAGUGGCGAACGGGUGAGUAACGCGUUGGUGACCUGCCCCGAAGAGGGGGAUAACAGUCCGAAAGGAUUGCUAAUACCCCAUGUGGUCAUAUGGAUUAGAUGCCUAAUGACUAAACGGAUUUAUUCGCUUCGGGAGGGGCCUGCGUCCCAUCAGCUAGUUGGUAAGGUAAUGGCUUACCAAGGCGAUGACGGGUAGGGGACCUGAGAGGGUGGCCCCCCACCAAUGGAACUGAAACACGGUCCAUACACCUACGGGUGGCAGCAGUAGGGAAUAUUGGUAAUCUGGGAAACCGGGAACCAGCAACGCCGCGUGCACGAUGAAGGCCUUCGGGUCGUAAAGUGCUUUUUGAAGGGAUGAGGAAGGACAGUACCUUCAGAAUAAGCCUCGGCUAACUACGUG